UGUGAGGCUGAUGUGUAGGCAAAUCCGCACAUCAUUAAGGCUGGGCUGUGAUGGGGAGCGAAAAUUGCAGUAGCGAAGGUCAUGAGUUCAGGCUGCCAAGAAAAGCCUCUAGCCAGGUGAAGGUGCCCGUACCGCAAACCGACACAGGUAGGCGAGCAGAGUAUGCUAAGGCGCUCGGAAGAACUCUCGUUAAGGAACUCGGCAAAAUGACCCCGUAACUUCGGGAGAAGGGGUGCCUCGGUAGGGUGAAUAGCCCGAGGGGGCCGCAGUGAAAAGGCCCAAGCGACUGUUUAGCAAAAACACAGGUCUGUGCGAAGCCGUAAGGCGAAGUAUACGGGCUGACGCCUGCCCGGUGCUGGAAGGUUAAGGGGAGUGGUUAGCCGCAAGGCGAAGCUAUGAACCGAAGCCCCAGUAAACGGCGGCCGUAACAAUAACGGUCCUAAGGUAGCGAAAUUCCUUGUCAGGUAAAUUCUGACCCGCACGAAUGGCGUAACGACUUGGGCGCUGUCUCAACGAGAGAUCCGGUGAAAUUUUAAUACCUGUGAAGAUGCAGGUUACCCGCGACAAGACGGAAAGACCCCAUGGAGCUUUACUGCAGCUUGAUAUUGGACUUUGGUACGAUCUGUACAGGAUAGGUGGGAGCCUUGGAAAUCGGAGCGCCAGCUUCGGUGGAGGCAUCGUUGGGAUACCACCCUGAUCGUAUCGGAGUUCUAACCUGGUACCGUGAUCCGGUACAGGGACCGUGUCAGGUGGGCAGGUUGACUGGGGCGGUCGCCUCCUAAAAUGUAACGGAGGCGCCCAAAGGUUCCCUCAGAAUGGUUGGAAAUCAUUCGUAGCGUGCAAAGGCAUAAGGGAGCUUGACUGCGAGACCUACAAGUCGAGCAGGGACGAAAGUCGGGCUUAGUGAUCCGGUGGUACCGCAUGGAAGGGCCAUCGCUCAACGGAUAAAAGCUACCCUGGGGAUAACAGGCUUAUCUCCCCCAAGAGUCCACAUCGACGGGGAGGUUUGGCACCUCGAUGUCGGCUCAUCGCAUCCUGGGGCUGAAGUAGGUCCCAAGGGUUGGGCUGUUCGCCCAUUAAAGCGGUACGCGAGCUGGGUUCAGAACGUCGUGAGACAGUUCGGUCCCUAUCUGUCGUGGGCGUAGGAAAUUUGAGAGGAGCUGUCCUUAGUACGAGAGGACCGGGAUGGACGCACCGCUGGUGUACCAGUUGUUCCGCCAGGAGCAUAGCUGGGUAGCUACGUGCGGACGGGAUAAGCGCUGAAAGCAUCUAAGCGUGAAGCCCCCCUCAAGAUGAGAUUUCCCAGUAUGUAAGACCCCUGGAAGACGACCAGGUUGAUAGGUUCGAGGUGGAAGCGCAGCAAUGUGUGGAGCUGACGAAUACUAAUCGGUCGAGGGCUUAUCCG
This 1405-nucleotide ribosomal RNA is filed under the name metagenome. RNAcentral describes it as "bacterial LSU rRNA". It matches the Rfam family "Bacterial large subunit ribosomal RNA", at positions 1518 to 2925 of the family's 2925-position model. The record is from RNAcentral.